RNAcentral lists this ribosomal RNA (590 nucleotides) under uncultured Bacillus sp. Its description in RNAcentral is "bacterial SSU rRNA". It matches the Rfam family "Bacterial small subunit ribosomal RNA", at positions 338 to 918 of the family's 1533-position model. Lineage: Bacteria; Bacillati; Bacillota; Bacilli; Caryophanales; Bacillaceae. The record is from RNAcentral.
CCUACGGGAGGCAGCAGUAGGGAAUCUUCCGCAAUGGACGAAAGUCUGACGGAGCAACGCCGCGUGAGUGAUGAAGGCUUUCGGGUCGUAAAACUCUGUUGUUAGGGAAGAACAAGUGCUAGUUGAAUAAGCUGGCACCUUGACGGUACCUAACCAGAAAGCCACGGCUAACUACGUGCCAGCAGCCGCGGUAAUACGUAGGUGGCAAGCGUUAUCCGGAAUUAUUGGGCGUAAAGCGCGCGCAGGUGGUUUCUUAAGUCUGAUGUGAAAGCCCACGGCUCAACCGUGGAGGGUCAUUGGAAACUGGGAGACUUGAGUGCAGAAGAGGAAAGUGGAAUUCCAUGUGUAGCGGUGAAAUGCGUAGAGAUAUGGAGGAACACCAGUGGCGAAGGCGACUUUCUGGUCUGUAACUGACACUGAGGCGCGAAAGCGUGGGGAGCAAACAGGAUUAGAUACCCUGGUAGUCCACGCCGUAAACGAUGAGUGCUAAGUGUUAGAGGGUUUCCGCCCUUUAGUGCUGAAGUUAACGCAUUAAGCACUCCGCCUGGGGAGUACGGCCGCAAGGCUGAAACUCAAAUGAAUUGACGGGG